RNAcentral lists this ribosomal RNA (1372 nucleotides) under uncultured bacterium. Its description in RNAcentral is "bacterial SSU rRNA". It matches the Rfam family "Bacterial small subunit ribosomal RNA", at positions 28 to 1381 of the family's 1533-position model. The record is from RNAcentral.
GAUGAACGCUGGCGGCGUGCCUAAUACAUGCAAGUCGAGCGAACGGACGAGAAGCUUGCUUCUCUGAUGUUAGCGGCGGACGGGUGAGUAACACGUGGAUAACCUACCUAUAAGACUGGGAUAACUUCGGGAAACCGGAGCUAAUACCGGAUAAUAUUUUGAACCGCAUGGUUCAAAAGUGAAAGACGGUCUUGCUGUCACUUAUAGAUGGAUCCGCGCUGCAUUAGCUAGUUGGUAAGGUAACGGCUUACCAAGGCAACGAUGCAUAGCCGACCUGAGAGGGUGAUCGGCCACACUGGAACUGAGACACGGUCCAGACUCCUACGGGAGGCAGCAGUAGGGAAUCUUCCGCAAUGGGCGAAAGCCUGACGGAGCAACGCCGCGUGAGUGAUGAAGGUCUUCGGAUCGUAAAACUCUGUUAUUAGGGAAGAACAUAUGUGUAAGUAACUGUGCACAUCUUGACGGUACCUAAUCAGAAAGCCACGGCUAACUACGUGCCAGCAGCCGCGGUAAUACGUAGGUGGCAAGCGUUAUCCGGAAUUAUUGGGCGUAAAGCGCGCGUAGGCGGUUUUUUAAGUCUGAUGUGAAAGCCCACGGCUCAACCGUGGAGGGUCAUUGGAAACUGGAAAACUUGAGUGCAGAAGAGGAAAGUGGAAUUCCAUGUGUAGCGGUGAAAUGCGCAGAGAUAUGGAGGAACACCAGUGGCGAAGGCGACUUUCUGGUCUGUAACUGACGCUGAUGUGCGAAAGCGUGGGGAUCAAACAGGAUUAGAUACCCUGGUAGUCCACGCCGUAAACGAUGAGUGCUAAGUGUUAGGGGGUUUCCGCCCCUUAGUGCUGCAGCUAACGCAUUAAGCACUCCGCCUGGGGAGUACGACCGCAAGGUUGAAACUCAAAGGAAUUGACGGGGACCCGCACAAGCGGUGGAGCAUGUGGUUUAAUUCGAAGCAACGCGAAGAACCUUACCAAAUCUUGACAUCCUUUGACAACUCUAGAGAUAGAGCUUUCCCCUUCGGGGGACAAAGUGACAGGUGGUGCAUGGUUGUCGUCAGCUCGUGUCGUGAGAUGUUGGGUUAAGUCCCGCAACGAGCGCAACCCUUAAGCUUAGUUGCCAUCAUUAAGUUGGGCACUCUAGGUUGACUGCCGGUGACAAACCGGAGGAAGGUGGGGAUGACGUCAAAUCAUCAUGCCCCUUAUGAUUUGGGCUACACACGUGCUACAAUGGACAAUACAAAGGGCAGCGAAACCGCGAGGUCAAGCAAAUCCCAUAAGGUUGUUCUCAGUUCGGAUUGUAGUCUGCAACUCGACUACAUGAAGCUGGAAUCGCUAGUAAUCGUAGAUCAGCAUGCUACGGUGAAUACGUUCCCGGGUCU